GUGGGGAAUAUUGGGCAAUGGGCGAAAGCCUGACCCAGCAACGCCGCGUGAGGGAAGAAGGUUUUCGGAUUGUAAACCUCUGUCCUUGGUGACGAACACAAUGACGGUAGCCAAGGAGGAAGCCCCGGCUAACUACGUGCCAGCAGCCGCGGUAAUACGUAGGGGGCAAGCGUUGUCCGGAAUGACUGGGCGUAAAGGGCGUGUAGGCGGCCGAUUAAGUCUGGAGUGAAAGUCCUGCUUUCAAGGUGGGAAUUGCUUUGGAGACUGGUUGGCUUGAGUGCGGAAGAGGCAAGUGGAAUUCCCAGUGUAGCGGUGAAAUGCGUAGAGAUUGGGAGGAACACCAGUGGCGAAGGCGACUUGCUGGGCCGUAACUGACGCUGAGACGCGAAAGCGUGGGGAGCGAACAGGAUUAGAAACCCUGGUAGUCC
This 428-nucleotide ribosomal RNA is filed under the name uncultured bacterium. RNAcentral describes it as "partial 16S ribosomal RNA". It matches the Rfam family "Bacterial small subunit ribosomal RNA", at positions 354 to 796 of the family's 1533-position model. The record is from RNAcentral.